Molecule: small RNA, 2199 nt
Filed under: Histoplasma capsulatum
Lineage: Eukaryota; Fungi; Ascomycota; Eurotiomycetes; Onygenales; Ajellomycetaceae
Description: hypothetical RNA
Source: RNAcentral
UGCUUGAGCCCGCAACUUCCAUCUUCUGCAACAUAGCCGUACUCCAUUUCCACUUCUGCAUAUCAUAUCUGCCAGUCGCCUGCCUACAACCUUCCGCUGCUCAUUCACCUCCAACCAUUACGACUGCCUGCUCAACUGGUUUUGCUGCUUCAAGGCAACAUGCCUCCUCCACCUCCUCCUCCCCCGCCACCCCCUCCUGCGGCUGGCGGUCCACCAAAAUCCACGAACUUACCAAGCAGGUCUCCCAAAGCAGCUGCACAAGGCCGGGGAGCUCUUCUCUCAGACAUCUCGAAAGGUACCCAUCUCAAGAAAACCGUAACAAAUGAUAGAUCGGCCCCUGUAAUCGGAAAGUCCUCCGGAACAUCGGGAGGUCUUUCAGUUGGCGGAGCCCCGCCGGUGCCUAGCAUGCCCAAGCCCCCUAACGGAUUAGCCCCGCCUGUCCCUGGUGGAAAUCGAUUGCGGAGUAAUAGCGACCAGGGCCGUGGAGGAGCUGACUCGGGCGCGACUCCUGGUGCUAUUGCUCAUGAAAGCGGGACGAUCCCUUCUGCUCCGCAAUUAGGUGGAUUAUUCGCUGGCGGCAUGCCUAAGCUUAAGAAGCGUGGUGGAAUAGACACGGGCGCGAGCGCGGAUGCUUCAUACCUUUCAGACUCUGAAAGCUCUCGAAAACCUGGCCCGUGGACUCCCACUGGCAGUGCUCCACCACCACCACUACCAAGUGGUCGUCCGCCACCUCCAACACCAGGUGGCCCUCCACAGGUCCAAGAGAACCCCCUAGUUGCAAAUUUACGAAAGAUCCCCCCCCGCACGUCAGGAAGGCCUUCAUCCUCAAUCUCAUAUAUCUCCACUAAAUCAGCUCCAGAGACUCCUUCACGACCACCUCCACUUCCUGGAGUAAAGCCUCCUGCCCCCCAAACAUCCACUCGAAAGGUCUCUGCUCCGCCUCCUCCAACAGCUCCACCUCCACCACCUUCAUCCGCAUCACCUCCUCCCCCGCCGUCUGCUCCUCCACCUCCUCCAGCAGUUGCCGCACCCCGCCCACCUCCAUCACGAUCGAAUCCCCCACCCCCGCCUCCAGCAGCAUCACCUAGCGCCAAUGGGCCCCACGCAGCAGCCUCAGCGGCAUCGAUAGCGAUGCAGGCCGCUAGAAAUGCUUUCUCCCAAGCAACUCAUCCGCAACCCCCCAACCAUCGUCCGCUCCAUCCCACCCCCCGGCUCCUCCUCCACCUCCCCCGCAAUCAUCUCCUCCCUCAUCCGCGCGAACAUCAUCCUUACUAUCAACUCCACUCACCUCGCGUCCCUCAUCAUUUGCAGACCAGCAGAAUCAACAUCAAGUACCUCAGCAGCAGCAACAGCCUAACCGGUCACUACUCGACCCAAGUAACUAUACCCUCACAAACGGCGGUUCCUCGCCCCGUCCCAGCUCUCGAGGCAGCAACAGGCGAGGCAGCUCACAGGGAAUCCGGAUUGAGGACCCAAGAUUCAAAUUCCAGAAUGAGUCGUUAUUUCCGAAACCCAGGGAGUUCCGUGGUGGCCAGAAGUUGUACAGGGCUGGGAGGGGGAGUAGUGUUCCGUUGGAUCUUUCGGCGUUGGGUUGAGGGGUACUGCUUCCGCUCAUUUACAUACAACACAAUAAUACUUGCUUGAGUUAGUUUCUCAAAUCAUGCAGGUUGAAAAUUGAUGUUAAUGUCUCCUGUUUCUUCACUUUCCACUCCUAGCUGCCCCUCUUCGCUUUUUACCAUUUUUAUCGCGUGUAUGAUGGGAUUGAUACGGGUUACCGAACGGUUGAAAAAUGACCCUGGCCUUCUUUGGGAUUUGGAUGGGAGCUAUAAAGAUCUAGAAGUGGAAUCUAUGUUUUAUGGUAGCCAACAACCCCAUUUCAUUAGACUCUUGUAGUCUUGUCUCUUGGAUUAACAGAAAAGCGAAGGGAAGCGGAGUUUGAUCAUACUUUUCUUCUCUUUCUCCUACCUUGCGCAUGCGUUCUUAGGAUGCAUUUGGUUCUUUGCGGGCUUUUCGUAUUAGUCUUCUUGGGGUGUUAAGCUAUUUAUGGCCCCUUCUAAAAGGACAGUUUUCUCUGAAUGUACAGUAUACUAUUGAGUAUCUGUCAUAUUUUAUGCAUACAUUACUUUUUUUUUACUCUCUUAGGUGAAAUUAACUACGGGCUAUCUCGAUUGAAUAAAGGUAAAUUAUAUUUAACAGAGA